This 114-nucleotide non-coding RNA is filed under the name bovine gut metagenome. Its description in RNAcentral is "FMN riboswitch (RFN element)". It matches the Rfam family "FMN riboswitch aptamer (RFN element)". Rfam says of the family: The RFN element is a highly conserved domain that is found frequently in the 5'-untranslated regions of prokaryotic mRNAs that encode for flavin mononucleotide (FMN) biosynthesis and transport proteins. This element is a metabolite-dependent riboswitch that directly binds FMN in the absence of proteins. The record is from RNAcentral.
AUUCUUCGGGGCGGGGUGAAAUUCCCCACCGGCGGUAUAGCCCGCGAACGAAAGGUUUUUCGUAUGAUUUGGUGAGAUUCCAAAGCCGACAGUAUAGUCUGGAUGAGAGAAGAA